This 96-nucleotide non-coding RNA is filed under the name Desulforamulus hydrothermalis Lam5 = DSM 18033. Its description in RNAcentral is "Desulfotomaculum hydrothermale Lam5 = DSM 18033 Glycine". It matches the Rfam family "Glycine riboswitch aptamer". From Rfam's summary of the family: This family represents the bacterial glycine riboswitch. Glycine riboswitches usually consist of two metabolite-binding aptamers domains with similar structures in tandem. The record is from RNAcentral. Lineage: Bacteria; Bacillati; Bacillota; Clostridia; Eubacteriales; Peptococcaceae.
AAACUCUGGAGAGUUCCUGCCCUCGGGGCAGGACACCCAAGGGGAAGCUUUCCGCAGGGAAGUCAUCUCUCAGGUUAAAAGGACAGGGUAUGCCAG